AGGAUGAACGCUGGCGGUCUGCUUAACACAUGCAAGUCGAACGGAGUAGAAAUACUUAGUGGCGGACGGGUGAGUAACGCGUGAGAAUCUACCUUCAGGACGGAGACAACAGUUGGAAACGACUGCUAACCCCCGAUGUACUGAAAAGGCAAAUAUUUAUAGCCUGAAGAAGAGCUCGCGCCCGAUUAGCUAGUUGGAGAGGUAAAAGCUCACCAAGGCGACGAUCGGUAGCUGGUCUGAGAGGACGAUCAGCCACACUGGGACUGAGACACGGCCCAGACUCCUACGGGAGGCAGCAGUGGGAAUUUCCGCAAUGGGCGAAAGCCUGACGGAGCAAGACCGCGUGGGGAAGAAGGCUCUUGGGUUGUAAACCCCUUUUCUCUGGGAAGAACGCAAUGACGGUACCAGAGGAAUCAGCAUCGGCUAACUCCGUGCCAGCAGCCGC
RNAcentral lists this ribosomal RNA (445 nucleotides) under uncultured bacterium. RNAcentral's name for it is "SSU rRNA". It matches the Rfam family "Bacterial small subunit ribosomal RNA", at positions 26 to 518 of the family's 1533-position model. The record is from RNAcentral.